RNAcentral lists this ribosomal RNA (470 nucleotides) under uncultured bacterium. RNAcentral describes it as "bacterial SSU rRNA". It matches the Rfam family "Bacterial small subunit ribosomal RNA", at positions 53 to 518 of the family's 1533-position model. The record is from RNAcentral.
ACAUGCAAGUCAGGGGCAGCACAAGGAGCAAUCUGAGGUGGCGACCGGCGCACGGGUGAGUAACACGUAUGCAACCUGCCUGUAAGCGGGGAAUAACCCGUUGAAAGACGGACUAAUACCGCAUAAUACUAAAUUACUGCAUGGUAAUUUAUUUAAACAUUUAUGGCUUACAGAUGGGCAUGCGCAUGAUUAGCUAGUUGGAGAGGUAACGGCUCCCCAAGGCAACGAUCAUUAGGGGUUCUGAGAGGAAGGUCCCCCACACUGGUACUGAGACACGGACCAGACUCCUACGGGAGGCAGCAGUGAGGAAUAUUGGUCAAUGGACGAGAGUCUGAACCAGCCAAGUCGCGUGCAGGAAGAAUGUCCUAAUGGAUUGUAAACUGCUUUUGCAGGGGAAUAAAGUGCAUCACGUGUGAUGUUUUGUAUGUACUCUGCGAAUAAGGAUCGGCUAACUCCGUGCCAGCCGCAGC